Molecule: non-coding RNA, 982 nt
Filed under: Trichomonas vaginalis G3
Lineage: Eukaryota; Parabasalia; Trichomonadida; Trichomonadidae
Description: Eukaryotic large subunit ribosomal RNA
Rfam family: Eukaryotic large subunit ribosomal RNA
Source: Rfam by way of RNAcentral
GGCUAUUGGAUUGGUCCAUGAAGCGAAAAAUAGUUUACUGUGUCACUCGUACCGAUAACCGCAUCAGGUCUUCUAGGUAAGUAGCCUAUGGCCAUUGAGGCAUGAUAGUUCAGGGAAUUCGGCCAAUUAGAGCUGUAACUUCGGGAUAAAGCUUGGCUCUGAUGAAAAUCAGAACCGAUUGUUACGCGGAGAGCCCAACUGUUUAAUAAAAACGUAGUGUCGCGCUGUGGUAGUAUAGCCAGUGAACGCGACAUGAAUCCUGCUCAGUGCUGUGUCUGUUAAUAUGGUUCAAGCCAACGAAGCACCGGUAAAUAGCUGGGGUAACUAUGACUCUUAUCAAAGUAGCGAAAUACCUCGUCACUUAAUUAGUGACCUGCAUGAACGGAGCUAUGAGGUUCUCACUGUCCCAAACUGUCUCUCAGCGAACCAACUGUAGUGGGAACGGUCACUAGAUAUCCAGCGGGGAAAGAAGACCCUGUAGAGCUUCACUUUGGUCUAGUCUUGUAUAGUUCCUGCGGGGGUGUAGACUAGGUGGGAGAGCAAUCGAUUCUGAAAAACCACUACCCUGUUUGGAAUUAUGCUUACCUAUCACAAGGAAUAGGACUAGAUAGAAAGUUUGGCUGGGGCGGCACACCUUCGAAAGAGCAGCGAAGGUGUCCUAAGUUGAGCUCAGUGAGGACAGAAAUCUCACGUUGAGGAUAAGGCCAAAAGCUCAAUUUACUGUGCCUUUUUGUACUAGGAUCAGUUACGAAAGUAAGGCCUAACGAUCCCUAAAUAGCCUCAGGUGCGUGAGGAUUGGGGUGACAGACAAGUUACCUCCGGGGACAACUGGCUUGUGGCUGCUAAGAGAUCAAAUCAACGCAGCUUUUUGAUUCUUCGAUGUCGGCUCUUCCUAUCCUAGUGAUGUACAAGUUGCUAAGGGUCGGAUUGUUCACCCGUAUUAGGGAUCGUGAGCUGGGUUUAGACCGUCGUGAGCCAGGUU